UACGUAGGGGGCUAGCGUUGUCCGGAUUUAUUGGGCGUAAAGAGCGUGUAGGCGGCCAGGUAGGUCUGCUGUGAAAACUCGAGGCUCAACCUCGAGACGUCGGCGGAAACCAUCUGGCUAGAGUCCGGAAGAGGAGAGUGGAAUUCCUGGUGUAGCGGUGAAAUGCGCAGAUAUCGGUCGGAACACCGAUGGCGAAGGCGGACACCUGGGGCAUUCUUGACGCUGAGGCGCGAAAGCGGGGGGAGCGAACGGG
RNAcentral lists this ribosomal RNA (253 nucleotides) under uncultured bacterium. RNAcentral describes it as "partial 16S ribosomal RNA". It matches the Rfam family "Bacterial small subunit ribosomal RNA", at positions 524 to 776 of the family's 1533-position model. The record is from RNAcentral.